RNAcentral lists this ribosomal RNA (190 nucleotides) under uncultured bacterium. RNAcentral describes it as "partial 16S ribosomal RNA". It matches the Rfam family "Bacterial small subunit ribosomal RNA", at positions 316 to 524 of the family's 1533-position model. The record is from RNAcentral.
CGGCCGCGAAUCGCCCUUACUCCUACGGGAGGCAGCAGUGGGGAAUAUUGGACAAUGGGCGCAAGCCUGAUCCAGCCAUGCCGCGUGAGUGAUGAAGGCCCUAGGGUUGUAAAGCUCUUUUGUGCGGGAAGAUAAUGACUGUACCGCAAGAAUAAGCCCCGGCUAACUUCGUGCCAGCAGCCGCGGUAAU